UGCGUAUUGUAAUAAAUGGUAUAAUAAUCUUAUUAAGUAUUUGUACUUCGUAGCAAAAGAUGACUAUAUUGUGUUGUAAGAGCAACCUAUACACCUCGUUUCGUAAGUUCUUUGAUGGCGGAAGCUUCAUGAGAAGCUAAAAAUUCAUAGUAUUCUUUCAACCUCUGAAAGACUGAUUCUCCGUUCCAUAAGUCAAUCCCUUCACUAUUUUUCGUGUGUGCCGGCAAACCGUGUUGUUGAAUGACAAACGAAGCGGCUACAGUAGCUUUAGCACAAGCUUCUAUAAUAUUACCCGUCCUAUAAUACUCCAAGAUUGCAGCUCCACAAAAAGCAUUACCAGCCCCAGUGGUAUCUAAAACGCUUCCGUUUUUCAUUUGUACACUUGGCAAAUGAAGAAUUUCUCGCACAGGGACAACUGCAUCGCUUGUAGCGUUGGUACUACUCGUGCAUGCACCAAUUAAACAACCAUCGGACCCAUUUCGAAGAACAACCCAUCCUUGAGAAUCGUGCCCAAUUUGGAAUUCUUGAAACGCAGAUACAAACUCUUUGGCUCGAGAUUUGCUUUCGCUAAUAUCUAUACCCAGAAGGUUGGCAGAGUCCACCUCGUUUGGAGAAAAUAUAUCACAAUACUUUAAGGCUUUUUGUAAAAUAUGCCAGUUUUCCGGUAAACAGGAUUCAGGCGUUGGCUCCCAUACGAUUUUAGGACGAUUUUUUAGAUUUCCAUACUUUGCCAGUUCCUCACACACAGAGACAAAUGUUUUAGGAUUUGUAAUAAUAUGAAUUGUUUUUGCAUAUAUCAAUCCUGUUUCCAAAAGAUCAGGAGCACGAAUUGGCUUUUUAGGUGUAAG
This is a non-coding RNA of Schizosaccharomyces pombe (fission yeast), 848 nucleotides long. The record is from the annotation of a GenBank genome assembly. NCBI's taxonomy places the organism in Eukaryota, Fungi, Ascomycota, Schizosaccharomycetes, Schizosaccharomycetales, Schizosaccharomycetaceae.